Molecule: ribosomal RNA, 412 nt
Filed under: Fusobacterium sp. oral taxon H27
Lineage: Bacteria; Fusobacteriati; Fusobacteriota; Fusobacteriia; Fusobacteriales; Fusobacteriaceae
Description: bacterial SSU rRNA
Rfam family: Bacterial small subunit ribosomal RNA
Source: RNAcentral
GAUGAACGCUGACAGAAUGCUUAACACAUGCAAGUCAACUUGAAUUUGGGUUUUUAACUUAGAUUUGGGUGGCGGACGGGUGAGUAACGCGUAAAGAACUUGCCUCACAGCUAGGGACAACAUUUAGAAAUGAAUGCUAAUACCUGAUAUUAUGGUUAUAGGGCAUCCUAUAAUUAUGAAAGCUAUAAGCACUGUGAGAGAGCUUUGCGUCCCAUUAGCUAGUUGGAGAGGUAACAGCUCACCAAGGCGAUGAUGGGUAGCCGGCCUGAGAGGGUGAACGGCCACAAGGGGACUGAGACACGGCCCUUACUCCUACGGGAGGCAGCAGUGGGGAAUAUUGGACAAUGGACCGAGAGUCUGAUCCAGCAAUUCUGUGUGCACGAUGAAGUUUUUCGGAAUGUAAAGUGCUUUC